GCUCUCCCUGGGCUCCAAUUACCAGAGGAAGAAGACAGCCCUGCUCCUCCUGUCAGCAGUUUUGGAGACCUGCACAGACACCUGGAGCCCCGAACGGAAGAAGGGGCAGCCUCCACAGACCAUGGCCGCGCUGCUGAGCUACGCCAGGCACCAGGGCUGCUGGGACUUCUUCUCGCAGUCCAACCUGCUGGCGCUGCUGAGCUGCUUGCAGGACAGCACCAAUGAGAUCAGAGAUUUGGCUUCGGAGCUGCUCAUCCGCUA
Molecule: non-coding RNA, 261 nt
Organism: Tinamus guttatus (white-throated tinamou)
Lineage: Eukaryota; Metazoa; Chordata; Aves; Tinamiformes; Tinamidae
Source: RefSeq, a predicted model, not a curated record